Molecule: ribosomal RNA, 433 nt
Filed under: uncultured bacterium
Lineage: Bacteria
Description: partial 16S ribosomal RNA
Rfam family: Bacterial small subunit ribosomal RNA
Source: RNAcentral
AACGAACGCUGGCGGCAUGCCUAACACAUGCAAGUCGAACGAACCCUUCGGGGUUAGUGGCGCACGGGUGCGUAACGCGUGGGAAUCUGCCCUUUGCUUCGGAAUAACUCAGGGAAACUUGUGCUAAUACCGGAUGAUGUCUUCGGACCAAAGAUUUAUCGACAAGGGAUGAGCCCGCGUAGGAUUAGGUAGUUGGUGGGGUAAAGGCCUACCAAGCCGACGAUCCUUAGCUGGUCUGAGAGGAUGAUCAGCCACACUGGGACUGAGACACGGCCCAGACUCCUACGGGAGGCAGCAGUGGGGGAUAUUGGACAAUGGGCGCAAGCCUGAUCCAGCAAUGCCGCGUGAGUGAUGAAGGCCCUCGGGUCGUAAAGCUCUUUUACCAGGGAUGAUAAUGACAGUACCUGGAGAAUAAGCUCCGGCUAACUCCGUG